This 181-nucleotide ribosomal RNA is filed under the name uncultured bacterium. RNAcentral's name for it is "partial 16S ribosomal RNA". It matches the Rfam family "Bacterial small subunit ribosomal RNA", at positions 1306 to 1500 of the family's 1533-position model. The record is from RNAcentral.
UGAAACUCGCCUACAUGAAGCUGGAAUUGCUAGUAAUCACAGGUCAGCAUACUGUGGUGAAUACGUUCCCGGGCCUUGUACACACCGCCCGUCACACCAUGAGAGUUGAGAAUACCCGAAGCCCAUGUCAAAGUGGUCGAAGGUAGGCUUGAUGAUUGGGGUGAAGUCGUAACAAGGUAAC